Molecule: ribosomal RNA, 253 nt
Filed under: uncultured bacterium
Lineage: Bacteria
Description: partial 16S ribosomal RNA
Rfam family: Bacterial small subunit ribosomal RNA
Source: RNAcentral
CACGUAGGGCGCGAGCGUUGUCCGGAAUUAUUGGGCGUAAAGGGCUCGUAGGCGGCCUGUUGCGUCCGCUGUGAAAGCCCGGGGCUUAACCCCGGGUCUGCAGUGGAUACGGGCAGGCUAGAGGUAGGUAGGGGAGAAUGGAAUUCCCGGUGUAGCGGUGAAAUGCGCAGAUAUCGGGAGGAACACCAGUGGCGAAGGCGGCUCACUGGCCCGGUACUGACGCUCAGGUGCGAAAGCGUGGGGAGCAAACAGG